Long non-coding RNA from Brassica napus (rape), 2554 nucleotides. RefSeq lists it as uncharacterized. The transcript is spliced from 2 exons. NCBI's taxonomy places the organism in Eukaryota, Viridiplantae, Streptophyta, Magnoliopsida, Brassicales, Brassicaceae. The record is from RefSeq and is a predicted model, not a curated record.
AUCAACCUGUAAAAGUUUUCACAAUUCCAUUAGGCUCCUAAAUUGUAACCAUCCGACCAUAGAAACGAAGAAUGUUGUACAGAAAAAAAACAAUUUUAACAAUAUAAAAUCUGCCAAACCCUUUUAAAAUGGAAUUAGAGCAAACAAAUUGUAAUUAUAUGACCUGGACCGAAUUGAACUUGUUGAGGUCGGAGACCCCAUUCCAAAUACAAUAGAUCAAACAAAUUAAAAAAAAAGUCUAACCAUUAAUACAAUAUGGUAUUUAACAAUAUAAAAUCUGGCAAACCCUUGCAAUGAAAUUAAACCAAACAAAUUAGGAUUGGUGUCUAACCUUUAAUACAAUAGAUCGAGAGUGAACAUGAAAUCAAAGUUGUUCAGAUUCUGUUUUUGAGUUAGGUUUUUGAAGGAAUCUCCACACGAAGAAGACGAAGAGUUAAGAAAGAGAGAGAGAGAGGCAGCGACGGAUCGAAAGGUAAGAAGAAGCCAAAAAAGAAAUUGUUGUACUGUUUUUAGCACGUUACAUAACAAACAUUUUCCCGGAGUUAUUAGUUGGGCUAAUAAAAAAUUGAGGACAAUAUUUAUAUGGGCCAGAUUUUAUGUAACGGGUAAAUAAUUUUGGAAUUAUAUGUUGUAUGGCCCAAUUUUGUAAAUAAUAGACAUUUACAUUUUUUAUAUAAAACAAUUUAAACAAUACUAUAUUUUAUGUAGCAUUUUAUUGUUGUUUUUUUUGUGGAAAAUUUAAAAACCCUUAACUGAAAUAUAUUAUAUUUAAAAAACACUAUUUUGUAUAUAUAGUAUAAUCUUAAUUAGUUUAGUCACAUUUAAAUAGUUAGAGGAUACAAUUAUCAGAAAAUAAAUUUAUUAUUAAUAACAUUUCAUAUAAUUUUUUUUUAAAAUUAAAAUUUUCAAUAUGUCUAAAAAUUUAGAAAAAAAUUAAUAAAAAGCAAGUGGUACAUAUAUGAUUAGUCCAAAUUUAUAUAAAACAAAAAUUGCACAAGUUAUACAUUUUCAAAACAAACUGCACAAGUUAUAAAAAGAAACAAUUUUUUUUAAUAAUCUAAUAAUAAUGUUUCAUUUGUGCCAAAAAAAAAUAUAUUUUGAUUACAAAAUCAGAUUGACAAGUACAUCAGAGUACCCGUUAGAACACGAUUCGUUUUUUGGGAUAUUGUGUUUUUAGACCUUUAAUACAGUUCAGAUAUUAUAAAUUACUAGAAUGAGUUUGAGUCGGACUAUCCUAUGUCUGUUUAAGUUUGUAGGAACCAAGAAAAAUGUAAAUAAAUUACAUUGACAACAAUGUCGUUAAAUAGUUUAGAUAUAUAAAAAUAAAAUUCAAAACCUGCGCGGACGCGCGGGUCAAAAUCUAGUAAUCUAUUAAGACUGAAGUACAAAAAAAAAUAACCCUCAGUUUUCUUCAAUAAUUACAUUACCCAUGCCACUGCCAUAAAGCUAUGCCGUUUUGUACUGACUCAUUAUUUUGGAAUUGAAACGUGCUGGGCUUAUGAAACCUUAUGGCCCAUAUGAUAAUCACAAUUAUAUUAUUCAACCUUCAAACCGAAUACCGAAUUCACAUCACGUCCGACAAAAGAUUUAAUGCCAGUACCAUUAAAAAAAGAAAUUUUUACUUUUUAAGACACUUUCUCACUUAUGAAUUACACAUAAAAACACAUAUGGCUGGAGACACACUUUAUUGAUGUGCAAUGUCUAUCAUGCCCUCUAAUAAGACUCAAUUACACUUUCUUCUGACUCUAACUAAGCAAUAAAAUAAUUUCUAUGAGAAAUUCAAAAAUCAAUUCUCUCCCCAAUUUCGAUUUCAAAUCUCAGAUCUAUUUUUACUUUUCCAAAUUCCCUAGAAACUCUCUCCUUCAACCUUUCUCUGCAAUGUUUUGUUUUUCUCUGUGUUUCUUUUUGCUUUCAAUUAUAAUAUCACAAACCUCAAAAAUUCAUAGCUCUUUCUCACGGUAAUCUGUAAGAGCUUGUUUUUUUGACCAAACCAACUCCACCUCCCAAUCUAUCUAUGAGCUCGAUUCCUUGCGCUCACUACGGCAUAGAAACGUCAACACCUCUAUGUGCAACCACCGCUGGGUUAGGACCAGUGGAAAGGGGAUGUGGAGGAGCAAGAGGAAGAAGAAGACAAGAAAGUUGCGUUUGAAUGUGUGACGACGGCACCUCUCUACUUCAGGGGAGGACGGCUGAACCUGUGCGACGACAAACACAUAGAAUGGCUGGAAUCGGGGAGGUUCAUGGAGCUGAUGAUGUCGACGGGUUUGAUCUGCUACUAGUCGGUGAGCUGGGUCAUGCUCGAGAGCCAAAACAACAAUGGCAAAUUUUCAGUUUUUUUGCAACUGUGGUCACUCACGUUUUGAUUAUUCACGCUUUCACCCAAGAUUCAUAAAAUGUACAAAACGUUUUCUUGAUUUAGAUGAUAACCAUAUCCACACCUCAUUUUUGUUGAUUACUCGCAAAUAUUUUUUCCUCUAUCCACAAUAUGUGUCGACAAUUUAUUUUGUUCAUAACAUUUUCAUCUACAAAUGUGUAAUGCACUCAAGUUUUUUCU